GAUGAACGCUGGCGGCGUGCCUAAUACAUGCAAGUCGAGCGAACGGACGAGAAGCUUGCUUCUCUGAUGUUAGCGGCGGACGGGUGAGUAACACGUGGAUAACCUACCUAUAAGACUGGGAUAACUUCGGGAAACCGGAGCUAAUACCGGAUAAUAUUUUGAACCGCAUGGUUCAAAAGUGAAAGACGGUGUUGCUGUCACUUAUAGAUGGAUCCGCGCUGCAUUAGCUAGUUGGUAAGGUAACGGCUUACCAAGGCAACGAUGCAUAGCCGACGUGAGAGGGUGAUCGGCCACACUGGAACUGAGACACGGUCCAGACUCCUACGGGAGGCAGCAGUAGGGAAUCUUCCGCAAUGGGCGAAAGCCUGACGGAGCAGCGCCGCGUGAGUGAUGAAGGUCUUCGGAUCGUAAAACUCUGUUAUUAGGGAAGAACAUAUGUGUAAGUAACUGUGCACAUCUUGACGGUACCUAAUCAGAAAGCCACGGCUAACUACGUG
This 497-nucleotide ribosomal RNA is filed under the name uncultured bacterium. RNAcentral's name for it is "partial 16S ribosomal RNA". It matches the Rfam family "Bacterial small subunit ribosomal RNA", at positions 28 to 507 of the family's 1533-position model. The record is from RNAcentral.